Molecule: ribosomal RNA, 779 nt
Filed under: uncultured Neocallimastigales
Lineage: Eukaryota; Fungi; Neocallimastigomycota; Neocallimastigomycetes; Neocallimastigales
Description: partial large subunit ribosomal RNA
Rfam family: Eukaryotic large subunit ribosomal RNA
Source: RNAcentral
UAUCUCUGUAGAGUCUGCAUAUCAAUAAGCGGAGGAAAAGAAACUAACAAGGAUUCCCUUAGUAACGGCGAGUGAAGCGGGAAGAGCUCAAAUUUGAAAUCUUCAAGGUUCUACCUUGACGAAUUGUAGUUUAAAGAAGUGUUUUCUGUUAGAUGAGUUCGGUAAAAGUUCCUUGGAAUAGGGACAUCAUAGAGGGUGAGAAUCCCGUAUUUGACCGUUAUUAUUCUAGCUGUGUGAUACACUUUCAAAGAGUCGGAUUGUUUGGGAAUGCAGUCCAAAAUGGGUGGUAAAUUUCAUCUAAAGCUAAAUAUUGGCGAGAGACCGAUAGCGAACAAGUACCGUGAGGGAAAGAUGAAAAGAACUUUGAAAAGAGAGUUAAACAGUACGUGAAAUUGUCAAAAGGGAAGCGUUUGACACCAGUGUUGUUUUCUCGAAAAUCAAUUAAAAAUGGCUCGAUUUUGUGUUGUAUUGACCUUAAAAGCUUUCUUCACUUUUUUCAUGUCUUUUUUAAUGCACUUUUCGCUUAACAAGUCAACAUCAGUUUCUUUUGUUGUAAAAAGGUCAUUGGAAGGUGGCUUUCUUUUCGGAGAAAGUGUUUAUAGCCUUUGACUCCUGCAAUCGGAGAGACUGAGGUCUGCAGCGUAGAUCCUUCUGGAUUAGAUUCAUUUGUGCUAAGUUACAACCGUUUAUAGACAACUUGUUGACUAUAUUCGAUCCUGUAGCUUACUCGCUUAUGUAAUUUUACCUACGCUUAGGAUGUUGACUGAUAUGUAGUCGUA